CGAGUCGGCCAGAUGAUCGCGGUGCGCAAGCGCUGAGGAAAGUCCGGACUCCACAGAGCAGGGUGGUGGGUAACGCCCACCCGGGGUGACCCGCGGGAAAGUGCCACAGAAAACAGACCGCCCGGCUUCGGUCGGGUAAGGGUGAAACGGUGGUGUAAGAGACCACCAGCACACCGGGUGACCGGUGUGGCUCGGUAAACCCCACCUGGAGCAAGACCAAGAAGGCCAGCCCCGGUUGGCUGCGGACGCUGUCUGAGCGCUGCUCGCGCGAGGCGUCCGGGUGGGUUGCAUGAGCCCGUCGGCAACGGCGGGCCUAGAUGGAUGAUCAUCCUUCGACAGAAUCCGGCUUACCGGCCGACUCGUCCU
This 366-nucleotide RNase P RNA is filed under the name Tessaracoccus antarcticus. RNAcentral's name for it is "Bacterial RNase P class A". It matches the Rfam family "Bacterial RNase P class A". From Rfam's summary of the family: Ribonuclease P (RNase P) is a ubiquitous endoribonuclease, found in archaea, bacteria and eukarya as well as chloroplasts and mitochondria. Lineage: Bacteria; Bacillati; Actinomycetota; Actinomycetes; Propionibacteriales; Propionibacteriaceae. The record is from Rfam by way of RNAcentral.